This 99-nucleotide transfer RNA is filed under the name Colletotrichum orbiculare MAFF 240422. RNAcentral's name for it is "tRNA-Leu for anticodon UAG". It matches the Rfam family "tRNA". Rfam says of the family: Transfer RNA (tRNA) molecules are approximately 80 nucleotides in length. Lineage: Eukaryota; Fungi; Ascomycota; Sordariomycetes; Glomerellales; Glomerellaceae. The record is from Rfam by way of RNAcentral.
GGAAGGGUGGCCGAGUUGGUUAUGGCGCCAGGUUUAGGUCAGCUUAACAUCUGUUUCCUGGUGGGGCAACCCGCGCGAGUUCGAGUCUCGUCCCUCUCA